This 315-nucleotide unclassified non-coding RNA is filed under the name uncultured fungus. RNAcentral's name for it is "sequence contains ITS1". The stretch from base 1 to 100 matches the Rfam family "5.8S ribosomal RNA", at positions 50 to 154 of the family's 154-position model. Lineage: Eukaryota; Fungi. The record is from RNAcentral.
AAAGUGCGAUAACUCGUGUGAAUUGCGGAAUUCGUGAAUCAUCAAAUUUUUGAACGCAAAUGGCGCCGAUACUUGUAUUGGCACACCUAUUUGAGUGUUGGCUAAAACCUUCUCCUUCUUCCUUGAUUGAGAGAUGAUGAAUGUCAAUCUUUGUCAAAAGGAUUGUCAUUUUAAAUGGAUUCUUCAAAACCUUUCACUGUGACUUGCGAGAAACUAUGAAAGAAUAUUUGAUCAACACUGCAGCUCUUUAAUAUCUCUUACGGGAUAUUAUUGAAAAUCAACCUCAAAUUAGGUGAGAGUACCCGCUGGACUUAA